This 545-nucleotide ribosomal RNA is filed under the name Penicillium sp. HCX-2014. RNAcentral's name for it is "eukaryotic LSU rRNA". The stretch from base 181 to 333 matches the Rfam family "5.8S ribosomal RNA". Lineage: Eukaryota; Fungi; Ascomycota; Eurotiomycetes; Eurotiales; Aspergillaceae. The record is from RNAcentral.
AUUACCGAGUGAGGGCCCUCUGGGUCCAACCUCCCACCCGUGUUUAUUUUACCUUGUUGCUUCGGCGGGCCCGCCUUAACUGGCCGCCGGGGGGCUUACGCCCCCGGGCCCGCGCCCGCCGAAGACACCCUCGAACUCUGUCUGAAGAUUGUAGUCUGAGUGAAAAUAUAAAUUAUUUAAAACUUUCAACAACGGAUCUCUUGGUUCCGGCAUCGAUGAAGAACGCAGCGAAAUGCGAUACGUAAUGUGAAUUGCAAAUUCAGUGAAUCAUCGAGUCUUUGAACGCACAUUGCGCCCCCUGGUAUUCCGGGGGGCAUGCCUGUCCGAGCGUCAUUGCUGCCCUCAAGCACGGCUUGUGUGUUGGGCCCCGUCCUCCGAUCCCGGGGGACGGGCCCGAAAGGCAGCGGCGGCACCGCGUCCGGUCCUCGAGCGUAUGGGGCUUUGUCACCCGCUCUGUAGGCCCGGCCGGCGCUUGCCGAUCAACCCAAAUUUUUAUCCAGGUUGACCUCGGAUCAGGUAGGGAUACCCGCUGAACUUAAGCAUAU